GACGAACGCUGGCGGCGUGCUUAACACAUGCAAGUCGAACGGAAAGGCCCUGCUUUUGUGGGGUGCUCGAGUGGCGAACGGGUGAGUAACACGUGAGUAACCUGCCCUUGACUUUGGGAUAACUUCAGGAAACUGGGGCUAAUACCGGAUAGGAGCUCCUGCUGCAUGGUGGGGGUUGGAAAGUUUCGGCGGUUGGGGAUGGACUCGCGGCUUAUCAGCUUGUUGGUGGGGUAGUGGCUUACCAAGGCUUUGACGGGUAGCCGGCCUGAGAGGGUGACCGGCCACAUUGGGACUGAGAUACGGCCCAGACUCCUACGGGAGGCAGCAGUGGGGAAUAUUGCACAAUGGGCGGAAGCCUGAUGCAGCAACGCCGCGUGCGGGAUGACGGCCUUCGGGUUGUAAACCGCUUUCGCCGGUGACGAAGCGUGAGUGACGGUAAUGGGUAAAGAAGCACCGGCUAACUACGUGCCAGCAGCCGCGGUGAUACGUAGGGUGCGAGCGUUGUCCGGAUUUAUUGGGCGUAAAGGGCUCGUAGGUGGUUGAUCGCGUCGGAAGUGUAAUCUUGGGGCUUAACCCUGAGCGUGCUUUCGAUACGGGUUGACUUGAGGAAGGUAGGGGAGAAUGGAAUUCCUGGUGGAGCGGUGGAAUGCGCAGAUAUCAGGAGGAACACCAGUGGCGAAGGCGGUUCUCUGGGCCUUUCCUGACGCUGAGGAGCGAAAGCGUGGGGAGCGAACAGGCUUAGAUACCCUGGUAGUCCACGCUGUAAACGGUGGGUACUAGGUGUGGGGUCCAUUCCACGGGUUCCGUGCCGUAGCUAACGCUUUAAGUACCCCGCCUGGGGAGUACGGCCGCAAGGCUAAAACUCAAAGGAAUUGACGGGGCCCCGCACAAGCGGCGGAGCAUGCGGAUUAAUUCGAUGCAACGCGUAGAACCUUACCUGGGUUUGACAUGGAUCGGGAGUGCUCAGAGAUGGGUGUGCCUCUUUUGGGGUCGGUUCACAGGUGGUGCAUGGCCGUCGUCAGCUCGUGUCGUGAGAUGUUGGGUUAAGUCCCGCAACGAGCGCAACCCUUGUUCACUGUUGCCAGCACGUUAUGGUGGGGACUCAGUGGAGACCGCCGGGGUCAACUCGGAGGAAGGUGGGGAUGACGUCAAGUCAUCAUGCCCCUUAUGUCCAGGGCUUCACGCAUGCUACAAUGGCUGGUACAGAGAGUGGCGAGCCUGUGAGGGUGAGCGAAUCUCGGAAAGCCGGUCUCAGUUCGGAUUGGGGUCUGCAACUCGACCUCGUGAAGUCGGAGUCGCCAGUAAUCGCAGAUCAGCAACGCUGCGGUGAAUACGUUCCCGGG
Molecule: ribosomal RNA, 1343 nt
Filed under: uncultured bacterium
Lineage: Bacteria
Description: 16S ribosomal RNA
Rfam family: Bacterial small subunit ribosomal RNA
Source: RNAcentral